This 502-nucleotide long non-coding RNA is filed under the name Taeniopygia guttata (zebra finch). RNAcentral's name for it is "lncRNA (ENSTGUG00000026255.1)". Lineage: Eukaryota; Metazoa; Chordata; Aves; Passeriformes; Estrildidae. The record is from RNAcentral.
AAAAGCUUAUUCAGUGGUUACCAGUAUAACACUUUCUCUGGUAUAACCAUUCUAUAUAAAACGCAGCUAAGAAAUUGUCAGCAGAAAUAGUGCAGCUGGGAAGAAAUUGCAUGGCAAGAUGGAAUGGAAGUGAGACCAACUAGAAUGAGGAAAUCAAGCCAGUUGAAUCACUUAUAAGAAUAUAAAUACACAGUGGAAGAGUAUGGGCCACACUAGGUUUUCUAGGAGUUAUUUGGAUAAUUGCAAAGAAAAGCACUUCUCAGGAAGUGGAAUAUAUCUUAAUGGAAAAUAGAGGACAAUAAUGAUCAAGGGAUAUUCCAGAUAGCUGAAGCAACUACACCAGCAUCAGUGUGAUACUGUACUUGGGCUAACUAGAGAGAAAGACAUGAAAAGCAUACAUAUGAAGAUGCAUAAGAAAUGAGGUAAGAAAACUUCUCUGUAAUCAAUAUGAUUAAAGUUCUUACAUUCAGGUUAUAUUACUAACCUUAAUUGUAACUAUAUA